UCAGGACGAACGCUGGCGGCGUGCCUAAUACAUGCAAGUCGUACGCUUCUUUUUCCACCGGAGCUUGCUCCACCGGAAAAAGAGGAGUGGCGAACGGGUGAGUAACACGUGGGUAACCUGCCCAUCAGAAGGGGAUAACACUUGGAAACAGGUGCUAAUACCGUAUAACAAUCGAAACCGCAUGGUUUUGAUUUGAAAGGCGCUUUCGGGUGUCGCUGAUGGAUGGACCCGCGGUGCAUUAGCUAGUUGGUGAGGUAACGGCUCACCAAGGCCACGAUGCAUAGCCGACCUGAGAGGGUGAUCGGCCACAUUGGGACUGAGACACGGCCCAAACUCCUACGGGAGGCAGCAGUAGGGAAUCUUCGGCAAUGGACGAAAGUCUGACCGAGCAACGCCGCGUGAGUGAAGAAGGUUUUCGGAUCGUAAAACUCUGUUGUUAGAGAAGAAUAAGGAUGAGAGUAACUGUUCAUCCCUUGACGGUAUCUAACCAGAAAGCCACGGCUAA
RNAcentral lists this ribosomal RNA (505 nucleotides) under Enterococcus faecium. RNAcentral's name for it is "bacterial SSU rRNA". It matches the Rfam family "Bacterial small subunit ribosomal RNA", at positions 24 to 500 of the family's 1533-position model. Lineage: Bacteria; Bacillati; Bacillota; Bacilli; Lactobacillales; Enterococcaceae. The record is from RNAcentral.